AGAGUUUGAUCCUGGCUCAGGAUGAACGCUGGCGGCGUGCCUAAUACAUGCAAGUCGAGCGAACGGACGAGAAGCUUGCUUCUCUGAUGUUAGCGGCGGACGGGUGAGUAACACGUGGAUAACCUACCUAUAAGACUGGGAUAACUUCGGGAAACCGGAGCUAAUACCGGAUAAUAUUUUGAACCGCAUGGUUCAAAAGUAAAAGACGGUCUUGCUGUCACUUAUAGAUGGAUCCGCGCUGCAUUAGCUAGUUGGUAAGGUAACGGCUUACCAAGGCAACGAUGCAUAGCCGACCUGAGAGGGUGAUCGGCCACACUGGAACUGAGACACGGUCCAGACUCCUACGGGAGGCAGCAGUAGGGAAUCUUCCGCAAUGGGCGAAAGCCUGACGGAGCAACGCCGCGUGAGUGAUGAAGGUCUUCGGAUCGUAAAACUCUGUUAUUAGGGAAGAACAUAUGUGUAAGUAACUGUGCACAUCUUGACGGUACCUAAUCAGAAAGCCACGGCUAACUACGUGCCAGCAGCCGCGGUAAUACGUAGGUGGCAAGCGUUAUCCGGAAUUAUUGGGCGUAAAGCGCGCGUAGGCGGUUUUUUAAGUCUGAUGUGAAAGCCCACGGCUCAACCGUGGAGGGUCAUUGGAAACUGGAAAACUUGAGUGCAGAAGAGGAAAGUGGAAUUCCAUGUGUAGCGGUGAAAUGCGCAGAGAUAUGGAGGAACACCAGUGGCGAAGGCGACUUUCUGGUCUGUAACUGACGCUGAUGUGCGAAAGCGUGGGGAUCAAACAGGAUUAGAUACCCUGGUAGUCCACGCCGUAAACGAUGAGUGCUAAGUG
Molecule: ribosomal RNA, 832 nt
Filed under: Staphylococcus aureus
Lineage: Bacteria; Bacillati; Bacillota; Bacilli; Caryophanales; Staphylococcaceae
Description: bacterial SSU rRNA
Rfam family: Bacterial small subunit ribosomal RNA
Source: RNAcentral